CUAUGUGAGCAUCCCUGUGCCUGCACAGCAAAGGACUCUCACUGGGUUCCACACGUGCUGCACAGAUCCCUGACACUGUGUUAACUGAACCUCAACUGCAGGAGCUUCAUUCCUGAGGAUGCUGUUACCAACAAUGACUUGCCUCUUGAAGAAUGAGUUUGCAAAGCCGGCAGUUACAUUGCUGAUGUCCAAAGACAUGGAAAUUUCCACGCUGACAAAUCAUUUCACUGUCAUUGGUCAAGACUCCAGGAUGAUAUUCUGAGCCGUAUGUUAAUUUUGACACCACCUAGAACAAUAAAAGGUAAACAUGC
Molecule: long non-coding RNA, 311 nt
Filed under: Pongo abelii (Sumatran orangutan)
Lineage: Eukaryota; Metazoa; Chordata; Mammalia; Primates; Hominidae
Description: lincRNA
Source: RNAcentral